ACGUAUGUCGCAAGCGUUAUCCGGAUUUAUUGGGCGUAAAGCGCGUCUAGGCGGUUUGGUAAGUCUGAUGUGAAAAUGCGGGGCUCAACUCCGUAUUGCGUUGGAAACUGUCAAACUAGAGUACUGGAGAGGUGGGCGGAACUACAAGUGUAGAGGUGAAAUUCGUAGAUAUUUGUAGGAAUGCCGAUGGGGAAGCCAGCCCACUGGACAGAUACUGACGCUAAAGCGCGAAAGCGUGGGUAGCAAACAG
This 250-nucleotide ribosomal RNA is filed under the name uncultured bacterium. Its description in RNAcentral is "partial 16S ribosomal RNA". It matches the Rfam family "Bacterial small subunit ribosomal RNA", at positions 525 to 775 of the family's 1533-position model. The record is from RNAcentral.